UGACAGUACUCCUACGGGGAGGCAGCAGUGGGGGAAUAUUGCACAAUGGGCGCAAGCCUGAUGCAGCCAUGCCGCGUGUAUGAAGAAGGCCUUCGGGUUGUAAAGUACUUUCAGCAGUGAGGAAGGUGGAUAUGUUAAUAGCAUAUUCAUUUGACGUUAGCUGCAGAAGAAAGCACCGGCUAACUCCGUGCCAGCAGCCGCGGUAAUACGGAGGGUGCGAGCGUUAAUCGGAAUUACUGGGCGUAAAGCGCAUGCAGGUGGUUUGUUAAGUCAGAUGUGAAAGCCCGGGGCUCAACCUCGGAAUUGCAUUUGAAACUGGCAAACUAGAGUACUGUAGAGGGGGGUAGGAAUUUCAGGUGUAGCGGUGAAAUGCGUAGAGAUCUGAAGGAAUACCGGUGGCGAAGGCGGCCCCCUGGACAGAUACUGACACUCAGAUGCGAAAGCGUGGGGAGCAAACAGGAUUAGAUACCCUGGUAG
This 477-nucleotide ribosomal RNA is filed under the name uncultured bacterium. Its description in RNAcentral is "bacterial SSU rRNA". It matches the Rfam family "Bacterial small subunit ribosomal RNA", at positions 328 to 793 of the family's 1533-position model. The record is from RNAcentral.